GACAUAAGGUGCGAGCGUUAUCCGGAAUCACUGGGCGUAAAGGGCAUCUAGGCGGUUUAUUAAGUCAGGGGUGAAAAGCCGAAGCUCAACUUUGGUCUUGCCUUUGAAACUGAUAGACUAGAAUACGGGAUAGGAGGGCGGAACUACAAGUGUAGAGGUGAAAUUCGUAGAUAUUUGUAGGAAUGCCGAUGACGAAGGUAGCUCUCUGGACCGAUAUUGACGCUGAAGUGCGAAAGCUAGGGUAGCAAACAGG
RNAcentral lists this ribosomal RNA (253 nucleotides) under uncultured bacterium. Its description in RNAcentral is "partial 16S ribosomal RNA". It matches the Rfam family "Bacterial small subunit ribosomal RNA", at positions 524 to 776 of the family's 1533-position model. The record is from RNAcentral.